This is a long non-coding RNA of Drosophila biarmipes, 564 nucleotides long. RefSeq lists it as uncharacterized. The record is from RefSeq and is a predicted model, not a curated record. The transcript is spliced from 3 exons. Lineage: Eukaryota; Metazoa; Arthropoda; Insecta; Diptera; Drosophilidae.
CCGCACUGAAAACCGAAGCUGAAUGUAGACCGAGCAACGGAUUCCCAAAAAAUCAGAUUGAAAAGGCCUCGGUUCUCGAGUGGAAUCUCCGAUUACUGACAGGACGCCAGGACAUCGCGGAUCCCGUCAGGACUCUUUCAAAUGUGCCGACACUUUGAAGGGGGUAAUAUUCCCAGGCCCGAGCAACCCAGAUGGGAACCCUAGUGGGGAAAGUUCUUUAAGUUAAGACACAUGUACAAGCAGCAGGAUUUUUUUAGAACAUUUUUAAGAAAUUUAUAAUUUAUAUGAUGAUCAAUAGAUAGAUACAUUACGGUUUCAAAGGAUUUUGUCCUAUUCAAAUGAGGAACCAAGACCACUUCCCUACUACUUAUAUUAUAUAAAUUUCCCAUUCUGUGAGAACCUGUGAGGACCUCUAUGGCCGGGACGACCUCAAUUCCUGUGGUACUCCUUCACCCAGUUGGCCCUAACCACCCACCUUAAUGGCCCGAAAAAACAAGGUCCGCCGGAGCAACCACCGCAGGCAAUGAGGACAGCCGGUGGUUUUCGCGGGCCAAAGGACGAACG